CCUUGUACACACCGCCCGUCACACCAUGGGAGUGAGUUGCCCCAGAAGCCGUUAGUCUAACCGCAAGGGGGACGACGACCACGGAGUGGUUCAUGACUGGGGUG
Molecule: ribosomal RNA, 104 nt
Filed under: uncultured bacterium
Lineage: Bacteria
Description: partial 16S ribosomal RNA
Rfam family: Bacterial small subunit ribosomal RNA
Source: RNAcentral